AUCAUAAUAACUUAACGAAUCGCAUGGCCUUGCGCCGGCGAUGGUUCAUUCAAAUUUCUGCCCUAUCAACUUUCGAUGGUAGGAUAGUGGCCUACCAUGGUGGCAACGGGUAACGGGGAAUUAGGGUUCGAUUCCGGAGAGGGAGCCUGAGAAACGGCUACCACAUCCAAGGAAGGCAGCAGGCGCGCAAAUUACCCAAUCCCGAUACGGGGAGGUAGUGACAAUAAAUACUGAUACGGGGCUCUUUCGGGUCUCGUAAUUGGAAUGAGAACAAUUUAAAUCCCUUAACGAGGAACAAUUGGAGGGCAAGUCUGGUGCCAGCAGCCGCGGUAAUUCCAGCUCCAAUAGCGUAUAUUAAAGUUGUUGCAGUUAAAAAGCUCGUAGUUGAACCUUGGGCCUGGCUGGCCGGUCCGCCUCACCGCGAGUACUGGUCCGGCUGGGCCUUUCCUUCUGGGGAACCUCAUGGCCUUCACUGGCUGUGGGGGGAACCA
Molecule: ribosomal RNA, 491 nt
Filed under: Penicillium sp. F6
Lineage: Eukaryota; Fungi; Ascomycota; Eurotiomycetes; Eurotiales; Aspergillaceae
Description: SSU rRNA
Rfam family: Eukaryotic small subunit ribosomal RNA
Source: RNAcentral